Molecule: small RNA, 1464 nt
Filed under: Histoplasma capsulatum
Lineage: Eukaryota; Fungi; Ascomycota; Eurotiomycetes; Onygenales; Ajellomycetaceae
Also listed under: 1 other name
Description: hypothetical RNA
Source: RNAcentral
GGAAUUUAACCUUUAUGUGAGUGGACGUAGGCGAGUGCUUGAUGAUGAAUACAUUAAUAUACUACUUCUAACUAUAAAAAAAAAAAUUGAAAUAUAAUAUUCUCCAUAGAAACUGCACUUCUAUUACACUUUUGAAUUCUUUGUGCGGUACAAAAACGAAUAUUAAGAAUACUCUUUACCAUACCUUCAGCCCUCCGACGGUUGACAACCUGAUCAAAUAAGCUCAAACACACCCAGCGACUAUCAGUUGCUCAGCAACCCAUACUCUUCAGAGCUCAUAGGCAUCUGUGAGCCCUGUGGCAUAACAGAACUGAAGAAUCUAUCCAUCAUACUGGAAGAACAAUGAUGGGGGAAAAAAAAGGAAAAGCUAACUUUCAUUCAGUGAGCUUCGAAUCGACGGGUUCGACAUAAAACGCCACUGGAUAGCAACACCGACAACAACCCCACUUGUGUUGAAUAAAACUGUCAGCUUUUCUCCCUUCUAAAUUGCGCUGCAUAUUUCGUGGAUCUAAUAAUUAGUAUUCAAGCUGGCCAUGAGCGUCGAAUUGGUUCCAGCGAACCCCUAGAUAAUGGAUAAUCGAGUUUACAACAUCACUCUUGAGCCAGCCAAACACUUACCAGCAUCGCCCUACUUAUAUUAUCUCUUGACCCAGCGUAUAAUUUCAACGUAGUAGUACCUCAUAUCCGAAAUGCAGAGGGUCGAGGAGUUUCUCUUGUGGUCUUGCCGGAGUACCACCUAACAGGUCUGGUACCUGAUUGUCCCGCAUUUGUCUCCCCUCGCUUCAAAAGCGUGGGGUUAAGAGGUUCCAAAAGCUUUGGGCAUCAGCCUGGCACACUCGUCACGACGGAUCCAAACUCACUGAUCCGAAAACGGCACGUGAGAUAUCGAGACUUCCCUCGGUGGAGGCGACUUAUUGAACUUGCAUCUUUUAUGUCACACACCGGCGAAUUGCUGUGAUUAUAUAAAAGUCAAACUACGGCUGCCGGAGCGUGGAUAUCUCUAUCUCCUCCGGGACCUUUGCUAAGAGAAGACCAGCAACUCAUGAACCGCAGGGCAGCAGCCGCUAUAGUGUCAUCAAAACACCCUUAGGCCAGGUGGGACUUGUGACUUUUCCGGAAGCGUUCCGUGCUGUGACCUGCCAGGGGGCACGGAUAAUAAUCAUACCCGGCUUUUGGUUGAACACAGAAUACCAAUCGAAGCACGUAAAUGUAAUGAAGAUACUGAAUGUACAGUACAUUCAUGAAAAUACCUGCGCCAUCGCAUCCUGCAACGCUGGGAGUCUGUCGGAAGAAGGCUAUAUAGAGUUGAGCCAAGUGGCAUUUCCAUUUUGUGUUUUUCCGAGUAGUUUUGAGGUCCUGAGAAUGGGAUACGGAUUGUGAAGGUUGAUAUGAAUACCGUAGCCGUUGCUGAGAGGGCUUAUGGGGUUAGGGUAGAUAUUGCGAAGCUUGGUUGGCAUUACGGGG